GACGAACGCUGGCGGCGUGCUUAACACAUGUAAGUCGAGCGAUGAAGUUCCUUCGGGAAUGGAUUAGCGGCGGACGGGUGAGUAACACGUGGGUAACCUGCCUCAUAGAGGGGAAUAGCCUUCCGAAAGGAAGAUUAAUGCCGCAUAAGAUUGCAGUUUCACAUGAAACAGCAAUUAAAGGAGUAAUCCGCUAUGAGAUGGACCCGCGUCGCAUUAGCUAGUUGGUAAGGUAACGGCUUACCAAGGCGACGAUGCGUAGCCGACCUGAGAGGGUGAUCGGCCACAUUGGGACUGAGACACGGCCCAGACUCCUACGGGAGGCAGCAGUGGGGAAUAUUGCACAAUGGGGGAAACCCUGAUGCAGCAACGCCGCGUGAGUGAUGAAGGUCUUCGGAUUGUAAAACUCUGUCUUCAGGGACGAUAAUGACGGUACCUGAGGAGGAAGCCACGGCUAACUACGUGCCAGCAGCCGCGGUAA
This 478-nucleotide ribosomal RNA is filed under the name uncultured bacterium. RNAcentral describes it as "partial 16S ribosomal RNA". It matches the Rfam family "Bacterial small subunit ribosomal RNA", at positions 28 to 523 of the family's 1533-position model. The record is from RNAcentral.